Molecule: non-coding RNA, 5019 nt
Organism: Castor canadensis (American beaver)
Lineage: Eukaryota; Metazoa; Chordata; Mammalia; Rodentia; Castoridae
Source: RefSeq, a predicted model, not a curated record
ACUAGUGAAGAAGGUUAGAAGUAGUUGUGUUCUGGAUCUAUUUUGAAGGAAAUACUGAUAGAUUGGAUGGGUAUAAAGACUAUGAGAGAGAAAUCAAGAUUUUUGUGUUGAGUUACUGAAUGCAUGAAAUUGUUCUUAGAUGAGACAGAUCAGGUUGAGCAGUCUCUCUGCUCAACAAAGUAGGAGUGGAAGGGAACUUCCUAACUUGGUAAAAGAUACCUACAGAAGCAAACAACCACAACUUACACAAUACUUACUAUGAAAGAGAAUGCUUUCAUCAUAAGAGCAGGAACAAGGGAAGAAUGUCUCCUUGUCAUUUCUACUUAACAUUGUUCAGGGGGUUCUAACCAAUGCAAUUAAGCAGAAAAAAAGAAGAAAAAGGCAUCCAGUUUGUCAAGAAAUAAGUAGAACUAUCUCUUUUUUGCAGCGGAUAUGAUCUUACAUAUAGAAAAUCCUAAGAAAUCCAUUUAAAGGACUUAGAACUAGUAAGUGGGUAUGACAAGGUUGUAGGAAACAAGAUCAAUAUACAAAAUUCAGAGUUUUGUUGUUUGGUUGGUUGGGUUUGGUUUUUUGAGACAGUGUCAUGCUAUGUAGCCCAGACUGGCCUUUAACUCAUGAUCCUCCUGUCUCAGCUUCCCAAGUACUAGGAUUAUAAGCAUCCACCACCACGCCCAACCAAUUUUUAUUCUAUAUAUGAGCAAUAAAUAUUCUGGAAAUGAGCCUGGGUGGAACCAUCCAGACAGAGGGAGAGAAGAGCUCUGAAUGGGGAGGAGGAUGUCUGAUUUCUAAGCCAAAGAUCAUCAAUAUUGAAAGAUGAGGGAACACCAAUGAGGCAGCUGGACAGCUAGGUGAGUCAUAUCCUGGGGACAAGUAUUUGAGGAAGAAGGAUUUGAGCAAUAGGGUAUGAUGCUGCUGAAGGGUGAGCGAGAUGAGGACUGGGGAUUGAUGACCAUGUAAGUGAAUGAGCAUGGGAGGAAAGCAAAGACAAAGAAUGAGAAAGACAAGGGUAAGAACUUGUACCUUUUUGGGAGAAAAUGUAAUAAAAAUCGAGUGCUAGAAAAAUAUAUAAGUCCACUUAAUUUGUAAAGGUUACUAUCAAUUUCUAUACUGUCUCAUCAUUGUCUCUAGCAGUUUGCUGAGUGGACUAGUCCAUGGAGCCCAGUUUGUGUUGUGUAGGUCUAGGAUUAGUGGCAGGAACAUGAACUGAGAUUGAUUCAACAGGGAUUUGAUAAUGACAUACUGUGCUUGAUGGGGGGAGGUACUUGCCAGAGAAUAAACAUGGGUCAUACUUGGCUACAUAUGUCUUUGUUAGCAAGCAUGAAGCCUGAAGUUUGAUUCCAUGUAAGUUGAAAUCACAAGUAAGUCAGACAUCUUGUGUGAAGCACAAUUCCUUUCUAUAAAUCAUAACAAAUAUUUUCUGUUUUCUUCACAAUCCUGUUUGUAUUUGAGUCUGAAUUACUCAUGUAAGUCUUACACAACCCUGCAAAAUGGGUGGUGGUUUUUAUUUUUGUUUGUUUUUUGUCUUCAUAUAGAAACAGGCUCAGAGAGAUGAAACAACUUGUCACCCUUAUGCUGUUAGGAGGUGAUAGAGCCAAGACUAACUCUUUUAGACUCACAAGCUUGCUACCAGAUUGGGCUGUGAGAAUGUUAAUCCCACCUUCAGAUUCAAAUUGAACACCAUCUGUGCUUUGAUUGUUAAUAUCCUGUUUUGUUACCUUGAAUUUGCAGGUGGGAUCUGCUAUUACUUUGUGUGUGUGUGUGUGUGUGUGUGUGUGUAUGUGUGUGAGUGUAAAUUGACUGUUUUUCAAAUCUAGAUAGUUGCUGGCUCACACUGUUGUUGAUUUUAAAUUCUGAUCUGAAGUGCUCUUGAUUCUAGAAUGCCUAAUAAUUAUUUCUUCUUUCAUAGUGUAUGAAUUAUUUGCAUUUAUCAGUCACAUGGGAACAUCUACAAUGAGUGGCCAUUAUGUUUGCCAUAUCAAAAAGGAAGGAAGAUGGGUGAUCUACAAUGACCACAAGGUUUGUGCCUCAGAAAGGCCUCCUAAAGACCUGGGCUACAUGUAUUUUUACCGCAGGAUACCAAGCUAAACCUCAGACAGGAAUUGGCGAGAAGAAGCCAUACACCUUUUUAAUUUGCCAAAAACAAAAAAACAAAAACAAAAAAAAAAGAAAAAAAGUUGGGACAGCCAGACAUGAAGGAACACAUGGGGUAUAUGUAGUUUAUUUAAAGAGCGUGAUCAUUUGACGCCUUCUGAAACUGAACUGGAAAAAAAUUUCUAUUAGCAAUGAUACUCUAUUGUAGAUAGUUUUUAUAAAUGUUCAAGGAGAGGGAGCUAAAAACAAAGGAAUUCAUAUUGCUGAUGUGGCAUCUGCCAUCAUCACAUCAAAAAUGGGGAAGUGUUUCCAGCCCACUAUUUUUCUUUGGGGGUCAGUGGUAGCGGCCUCCAGAGAAAUCAAUCAGUGUAGCCAGUGGUGUGGCCUCACCUAACAAUAAACAAAAAGCCCACUUUUGUUUCAAAUAGAAAAUCAGCAGCUGGGCUGGGCUUUAUUUGUGGCAUAAUUUUUUUUCAUUAUGCACAGUCAUGUCUGACCUAUCCAUGUAUCAUAGAACAUCUGCAUUGAAAGAUAUUUUUAAUUUAAAUCAUAUCAAAAUUCAUAACACAAUUGUGUGAAUGUGUGUGAGAGUGAGCGUGAGUGUGUGACCUUUAUAGUCCACUAGAAAAAUCUGUGAUGGUUGUUUUUUAAAGGCUAAAUAGUUGGUAUUAAGCGUAUCUGGAAAAGACAAGUAAAUAUUUUAACAAAACUCUAACUCAGGAACAGUUUAAAAAUUCGUUCCCUGCUUCGAUGCUUCGAUUUUAAGGAGUAAAAAGGGCUGAGUUAACCCCUUUCAGUGCUGUCAAGAGAUCACUUGGGUUUUUGCCAUUUGAGGGUAUUUUGCUAAUACCCACAGCAGUAUAAUUUUGUCCUUUGCCAAAGGUAGAUGGAGUCUCUCUUUCUCAAUAGCCGUUCCCCCAAAGGGUACAGUGUUCUUGCUGUUGUUUUUUCUUUCUUACUUUACUUUUUCUUUUUUUAGGUAAAUAAUCUUUUCUUAUUAUACCAUGUGAUAACUUCCCAGCUUCCUGGAAUCAAGUUAAAUGCCCCAAAUUUAUCUAUUGUUUUCUUGCCUCUGAGCCUUUUGUCUGCCUUCAUUUCUGUGUUUUUCUGGGACUAGUCUCAUCUUUGCCCUUUUUUGGCUUAUUAUCUCCUAACUUGACUUCACAGCUUAUCUGCUGUGACCAACAGUGCAAUUUUUGGCACUUUAAGGAUUCAGAUGCAAAGAAACUUAUAUGAUAUCACUAAGAACAUUCUCUCCAUAUUUUGGUUAUUUCAGUAUUUUAAUUGCAACUGGGAAUAAGAGUUUCAAAUGUGAUAUAAAGUAGAACGAUAGAGUGCUAUAAUUUUCCUACUGCUUUGCACCAAAUUCUAGUCUCCAAAGUUUCUAUUUUAGAUUUUUAGUCAAAUGAAAAAGGAUUUAUUGCUAUCCUCUUGACAUGUACUCAUUUUAUUGAAAAGAUCUUUCUAGAUACUGUAGGAAAAUAAAGCAGAACCAAUUGAGAGAAAUUAACCAGAGACAUUGGAUAGGAUUUGGUGAGAUCUGAAGUCAGGAUUCUGUUUAUGACUGGGGCUCUUGUCUCACAGGAGAUCGUAUAUGCCAUGUGAGUAGGGUCAUGGAGCCUGAGACCGUUGCCUAGAGAUCUGGGUGCUGUCCCUAAUUGACUGUGGACCUUGGGCAAGUCCCUCAUCCUCCCUGUACCUCACUCUACUCACCUGUGCAGUGGUGUGUUGACACCUACUGUCUCUUUCCAGUCAUGCUUUGAGGCUACAGAGACAUCUGAUAGGAUGAGCCUUCAUAGAGUAGAGGGUGGGUGCCAUGGUGGGUCCCAGUAGAGUAUACUCCCUGCUUUCUCUCAUCUGAUGUUUUCUUCAAUUUGGGAACAAAUGAGAUUGGCAGAAGCAGAGAGCUCAUGGUGCAGUAAUCCUCUGCUACACAGUGCCCACUGGUGUUGCCUUCUAGUGUUGACUCAGAGAUCCUAAAGCAGUCCCACUCUGUUUCGUAAAGUCCCUGACCCUGGUGGAAAUCUCCACUCUAAGCAGCCUUACAAAAUCCAGUCCCCUUCUGGAUGAGUAUCAGAAUAAUGACUUGAAACGUCUAUCAGAAAUGGCUUGUUUGCAACCAUGUUACAAAGCAAAGACCUUUUUACCAGAGGAGGGUAGGGGAUCAUAGAGGGGGUUUGGAUUGAAUUGUGCACAAAGAUAGCAUGUGUAUUUUGAACAAAAGUAAAAUUUUAUAACAAAACUUUGCAAAAUCAAUGGUGUAAAAUCUGCAUUUAAGACUAUAGGCUAUAAAUUAUUUAAUUUCACUAGGUAGAAAAAGCAAUUUAGCCCUUUUGAUGCCUAAACAUAUUGUAAGAAGGUAUACUAUGGCUGCUUUUUUUUUUCUGCCUCACAAAACAAAGGGCUAUUUCUACAAGGCAAAGUUUUGUAUAUGUGCUAUUCCUUCUUUCAGAUUGAGAAUUGGGAAAAACUGGAGCAAACAAUGGAUUUCUUUCUUGCUUAAAAAUGUAUUUAUAUGUGUUUUCUAAUAGAUACAAAGGAGGGUUCCCUGGAAUAGAAGUCUGAAAUGUACUGCUUAAUUUUACACAUGUGUAUAGAUGGGAUUACUUGUGACUGAAAACUGAACUAGUGUGUGGGUUGUGUCAGCUGAACAGCCUGUUAGGAGUCCUCUGUGUGAGGCAUGGUGGUAUAAUUGUGAAAUUCUCACUAUGUGUAGGUGUCUGUGAAAGACAGCGCUUUCUUCUUGUAAAUAUCUUUUGAUAUCCAUUUGUGUAGAAUCUCAAUGAAUGUGUCUUUGGAAAAUGUAAUGUAUCAAAGUUUUAAUUUUGUCAAUUGGUCUAAACACCCAAAUAACAAUUCAGAAAUCCAGUUUGGUUCAGAUGGAAUUUUGUCUUGUAAACGAAAAAAAAAAUGCAGAAAAGACUAUUG